CCAAGGGGUGCUGAGGCCUGAGGGCCGAGGCUGAGAUGAUACCCUCACAACCUGAUCGGGGUAAUGCCCGCGUAGGAAAAAGAUAU
This 86-nucleotide non-coding RNA is filed under the name bovine gut metagenome. The record is from RNAcentral.